UACAGAGGGUGCAAGCGUUGUUCGGAUUUACUGGGCGUACAGGGAGCGUAGGCGGUUGGAUAAGCCCUCCGUGAAAUCUCCAGGCUUAACCUGGAAAGUGCAGAGGGGACUGUUCAGCUAGAGGAUGGGAGAGGAGCGCGGAAUUCCCGGUGUAGCGGUGAAAUGCGUAGAGAUCGGGAGGAAGGCCGGUGGCGAAGGCGGCAUCCUGGACCGACAUUGACGCUGAUGAGCGAAAGCUAGGGGAGCAAACGGG
RNAcentral lists this ribosomal RNA (253 nucleotides) under uncultured bacterium. Its description in RNAcentral is "partial 16S ribosomal RNA". It matches the Rfam family "Bacterial small subunit ribosomal RNA", at positions 524 to 776 of the family's 1533-position model. The record is from RNAcentral.